Molecule: ribosomal RNA, 417 nt
Filed under: Triticum aestivum (bread wheat)
Lineage: Eukaryota; Viridiplantae; Streptophyta; Magnoliopsida; Poales; Poaceae
Description: partial small subunit ribosomal RNA
Source: RNAcentral
AUGCUUAACUCUCGCUGCAGAGGCUUCAACCUCCUGGCUGGCUGCAAGCUGCUCGCACCUCCUAGCUGGCUGCAGCCUCAUCUUGGCCAACUACAGGCUGCUGGCUCUUCCUGGCCAGCUGUACUCUUCUGGCUCUUCCUGGCCAGCUGCACUCUCCUGGCCGACAACAGGCUGUUGGUUGCUCCAAGCUGCUCCUGGCCGGCUGCUGGCUGCAGGCUGUUGGCUAUGGGCUGCUGGAUGCUGGCCGCUUGGUCUUCAGCCUCCAUUGCCGCCUCAGGCUCUGCCACUACCACGUCUGGUCAUUCGAUUUCUCAAGCCUUAACCGACAAUGUUCAACUCCACCUCUUCAAGCUUCGCCCGACAAUGUUCGGCGCUGCCUCUUUAGGCUCGGCAGACUCGCCGCGGCCGCUUCAAUGA